RNAcentral lists this ribosomal RNA (438 nucleotides) under uncultured soil bacterium. Its description in RNAcentral is "bacterial SSU rRNA". It matches the Rfam family "Bacterial small subunit ribosomal RNA", at positions 26 to 518 of the family's 1533-position model. The record is from RNAcentral.
AGAGCGAACGCUGGCGGCAGGCCUAACACAUACAAGUCGAACGGACCCUUCGGGGUUAGUGGCGGACGGGUGAGUAACACGUGGGAACGUGCCUUUUGGUUCGGAAUAGCUCCUGGAAACGGGUGGUAAUGCCGAAUGUGCCCUUCGGGGGAAAGAUUUAUCGCCAUUAGAGCGGCCCGCGUCUGAUUAGCUAGUUGGUGAGGUAAUGGCUCACCAAGGCGACGAUCAGUAGCUGGUCUGAGAGGAUGACCAGCCACAUUGGGACUGAGACACGGCCCAAACUCCUACGGGAGGCAGCAGUGGGGAAUCUUGCGCAAUGGGCGAAAGCCUGACGCAGCCAUGCCGCGUGAAUGAUGAAGGUCUAGGAUUGUAAAUUCUUCACCGGGACGAUAAUGACGGUACCGGAGAAGAAGCCCGCUAACUCGUGCCAGCAGCCGC